CCUACGGGAGGCAGCAGUGAGGAAUAUUGGUCAAUGGACGCAAGUCUGAACCAGCCAAGCCGCGUGCAGGAAGACGGCUCUAUGAGUUGUAAACUGCUUUUGUACGAGGGUAAACGCAGAUACGCGUAUCUGUUUGAAAGUAUCGUAUGAAUAAGCAUCGGCUAACUCCGUGCCAGCAGCCGCGGUAAUACGGAGGAUUCAAGCGUUAUCCGGAUUUAUUGGGUUUAAAGGGUGCGUAGGUUGUCUGAUAAGUUAGCGGUGAAAUCCCGAGGCUCAACUUUGGAAUUGCCUCUGAUACUGUUCGGCUAGAGAGUAGUUGAGGUAGGCGGAAUGUAUGGUGUAGCGGUGAAAUGCUUAGAGAUCAUACAGAACACCGAUUGCGAAGGCAGCUUACCAAGCUACUUCUGACGUUGAGGCACGAAAGCGUGGGGAGCAAACAGGAUUAGAUACCCCGGUAGUC
This 460-nucleotide ribosomal RNA is filed under the name uncultured bacterium. RNAcentral's name for it is "partial 16S ribosomal RNA". It matches the Rfam family "Bacterial small subunit ribosomal RNA", at positions 338 to 795 of the family's 1533-position model. The record is from RNAcentral.